GACAGAGGAUGCAAGCGUUAUCCGGAAUGAUUGGGCGUAAAGCGUCUGUAGGUGGCUUCUUAAGUCUGCUGUCAAAUCCCAGGGCUUAACCCUGGCCAGGCGGUGGAGACUACUAAGCUUGAGUACGGUAGGGGCAGAGGGAAUUUCCGGUGGAGCGGUGAAAUGCGUAGAGAUCGGAAAGAACACCAAGGGCGAAGGCACUCUGCUGGGCCGACACUGACACUGAGAGACGAGAGCUAGGGGAGCAAAUGGG
This 253-nucleotide ribosomal RNA is filed under the name uncultured bacterium. RNAcentral's name for it is "partial 16S ribosomal RNA". It matches the Rfam family "Bacterial small subunit ribosomal RNA", at positions 524 to 776 of the family's 1533-position model. The record is from RNAcentral.